UAGGGAAUAUUAGUAAUGGGCGGAAGCCUGAACUAGCAACACCGCGUGUGCGAAGAAGGCCUUCGGGUUGUAAAGCACUUUUUGAGAGGAUGAGGAAGGACGGUACUCUCAGAAUAAGUCUCGGCUAACUACGUGCCAGCAGCCGCGGUAACACGUAGGAGGCGAACGUUAUCCGGAUUUAUUGGGCGUAAAGCGCGUGUAGGUGGUUUGGUAAGUAGAGCGUGAAAGCUCCGGGCUCAACUGUGAGAGGGCGUUCUAAACUGCCAGACUAGAGGAUGGUAGAGGGAGGUGGAAUUCCGGGUGUAGCGGUGGAAUGCGCAGAUAUCCGGAGGAACACCAGUGGCGAAAGCGGCCUCCUGGACCACUCCUGACACUCAGACGCGAAAGCUAGGGUAGCAAACG
Molecule: ribosomal RNA, 402 nt
Filed under: uncultured prokaryote
Description: bacterial SSU rRNA
Rfam family: Bacterial small subunit ribosomal RNA
Source: RNAcentral